UAGGGAAUCUUCCACAAUGGACGCAAGUCUGAUGGAGCAACGCCGCGUGAGUGAAGAAGGUUUUCGGAUCGUAAAGCUUUGUUGUUGGUGAAGAAGGAUAGAGGCAGUAACUGGUCUUUAUUUGACGGUAAUCAACCAGAAAGUCACGGCUAACUACGUGCCAGCAGCCGCGGUAAUACGUAGGUGGCAAGCGUUUUCCAGAUUUAUUGGGCGUAAACCGAGCGCAGGCGGAAUGAUAAGUCUGAUGUGAAAGCCCACGGCUCAACCGUGGAACUGCAUCGGAAACUGUCAGUCUUGAGUGCAGAGGAGGAAAGUGGAAUUCCAUGUGUAGCAGUGGAAUGCGUAGAUAUAUGGAAGAACACCAGUGGCGAAGGCGGCUCUCUGGUAUGCAACUGACGCUGAGGAUCGAAAGCAUGGGUAGCGAACAGG
Molecule: ribosomal RNA, 429 nt
Filed under: bacterium
Lineage: Bacteria
Description: partial 16S ribosomal RNA
Rfam family: Bacterial small subunit ribosomal RNA
Source: RNAcentral